GCGUCCGUAGCUCAGUUGGAUAGAGCAACGGCCUUCUAAGCCGUGGGUCGCAGGUUCGAAUCCUGCCGGACGCGCCA
This 77-nucleotide transfer RNA is filed under the name Kangiella koreensis DSM 16069. Its description in RNAcentral is "tRNA-Arg (TCT) (tRNA-Arg-TCT-1-1)". It matches the Rfam family "tRNA". From Rfam's summary of the family: Transfer RNA (tRNA) molecules are approximately 80 nucleotides in length. Lineage: Bacteria; Pseudomonadati; Pseudomonadota; Gammaproteobacteria; Kangiellales; Kangiellaceae. RNAcentral also lists the same sequence under 3 other names. The record is from RNAcentral.